AUUGAACGCUGGCGGCAGGCCUAACACAUGCAAGUCGAGCGGAUGAAGGGAGCUUGCUCCUGGAUUCAGCGGCGGACGGGUGAGUAAUGCCUAGGAAUCUGCCUGGUAGUGGGGGAUAACGUCCGGAAACGGGCGCUAAUACCGCAUACGUCCUGAGGGAGAAAGUGGGGGAUCUUCGGACCUCACGCUAUCAGAUGAGCCUAGGUCGGAUUAGCUAGUUGGUGGGGUAAAGGCCUACCAAGGCGACGAUCCGUAACUGGUCUGAGAGGGUGAUCAGUCACACUGGAACUGAGACACGGUCCAAACUCCUACGGGAGGCAGCAGUGGGGAAUAUUGGACAAUGGGCGAAAGCCUGAUCCAGCCAUGCCGCGUGUGUUAAGAAGGUCUUCGGAUUGUAAAGCACUUUAAGUUGGGAGGAAGGGCAGUAAGUUAAUACCUUGCUGUUUUGACGUUACCAACAGAAUAAGCACCGGCUAACUUCGUG
RNAcentral lists this ribosomal RNA (484 nucleotides) under uncultured bacterium. RNAcentral describes it as "partial 16S ribosomal RNA". It matches the Rfam family "Bacterial small subunit ribosomal RNA", at positions 30 to 507 of the family's 1533-position model. The record is from RNAcentral.